UGGGGAAUAUUGCGCAAUGGGCGAAAGCCUGACGCAGCGACGCCGCGUGAGGGAUGAAGGUCUUCGGAUCGUAAACCUCUGUCAAGAGGGAAGAACAAGCAACGUGCUAAUCAGCGUUGCCCUGACGGUACCUCUAGAGGAAGCACCGGCUAACUCCGUGCCAGCAGCCGCGGUAAUACGGAGGGUGCAAGCGUUAAUCGGAAUUACUGGGCGUAAAGCGCAUGUAGGCUGUAUGUUAAGUUGGGGGUGAAAUCCCACGGCUCAACCGUGGAACUGCCCUCAAAACUGGCAAACUAGAGUGUGAGAGAGGAUGGCGGAAUUCCAGGUGUAGGAGUGAAAUCCGUAGAUAUCUGGAAGAACAUCAGUGGCGAAGGCGGCCAUCUGGCUCAUAACUGACGCUGAGAUGCGAAAGCGUGGGUAGCAAACAGG
RNAcentral lists this ribosomal RNA (429 nucleotides) under uncultured prokaryote. RNAcentral describes it as "bacterial SSU rRNA". It matches the Rfam family "Bacterial small subunit ribosomal RNA", at positions 355 to 776 of the family's 1533-position model. RNAcentral also lists the same sequence under 1 other name. The record is from RNAcentral.